This 433-nucleotide ribosomal RNA is filed under the name uncultured bacterium. Its description in RNAcentral is "partial 16S ribosomal RNA". It matches the Rfam family "Bacterial small subunit ribosomal RNA", at positions 29 to 507 of the family's 1533-position model. The record is from RNAcentral.
AACGAACGCUGGCGGCAUGCCUAACACAUGCAAGUCGAACGAAGGCUUCGGCCUUAGUGGCGCACGGGUGCGUAACGCGUGGGAAUCUGCCCUUAGGUUCGGAAUAACAGUUAGAAAUGACUGCUAAUACCGGAUGAUGACGUAAGUCCAAAGAUUUAUCGCCUGAGGAUGAGCCCGCGUAGGAUUAGCUAGUUGGUGUGGUAAAGGCGCACCAAGGCGACGAUCCUUAGCUGGUCUGAGAGGAUGAUCAGCCACACUGGGACUGAGACACGGCCCAGACUCCUACGGGAGGCAGCAGUGGGGAAUAUUGGACAAUGGGCGCAAGCCUGAUCCAGCAAUGCCGCGUGAGUGAUGAAGGCCUUAGGGUUGUAAAGCUCUUUUACCCGUGAUGAUAAUGACAGUAGCGGGAGAAUAAGCCCCGACUAACUCCGUG